Molecule: non-coding RNA, 235 nt
Organism: Pelobates cultripes (western spadefoot toad)
Lineage: Eukaryota; Metazoa; Chordata; Amphibia; Anura; Pelobatidae
Source: the annotation of a GenBank genome assembly
GGACAGAUGGACACUGCGAGUUUCACUUGCUAUUUCUGUGGAAGCACCUCUAAAGGCUGCAAAACAGAAGCGUUUUACAUUGCAGGGUUAGAACGAACAUGGCACAUGGCAUCCAGACCACUUCAUUGAGAUUAAGUAGUCUAGGUGCCUAUAGUCUUCCUUUAAUGGGCAGACAGGUAGCAGCAGAACAGCUAAUCACAUUUUAUGUAUUAUACGAGGCUUCAUCCUUCUCAGG